This 253-nucleotide ribosomal RNA is filed under the name uncultured bacterium. RNAcentral's name for it is "partial 16S ribosomal RNA". It matches the Rfam family "Bacterial small subunit ribosomal RNA", at positions 524 to 776 of the family's 1533-position model. The record is from RNAcentral.
UACGGAGGUGGCAAGCGUUACUCGGAUUCACUGGGUGUAAAGGGCGUGUAGGUGUCCUUAUAAGUAAGGGGUGAAAUCCUUCGAUUUAAUCGAAGAAUUGCCUUUUAAACUGUGAGGAUUGAGUAUGGGAUAAGAAAGCGGAACUCUCGGUGUAAGGGUGAAAUCUGUUGAGAUCGAGAGGAACACCAGUAGCGAAGGCGGCUUUCUGGACCAUAACUGACACUGAGCCGCGAAAGCUAGGGGAGCAAACAGG